This 440-nucleotide ribosomal RNA is filed under the name uncultured bacterium. RNAcentral's name for it is "partial 16S ribosomal RNA". It matches the Rfam family "Bacterial small subunit ribosomal RNA", at positions 338 to 795 of the family's 1533-position model. The record is from RNAcentral.
CCUACGGGUGACAGCAGUGGGGGAUAUUGCACAAUGGGGGGAACCCUGAUGCAGCGACGCCGCGUGGGUGAAGGAGCGUUUCGGCGCGUAAAGCCCUAUCGGCAGGGACGAAGAUGACGGUACCUGGCCAAGAAGCCCCGGCUAACUACGUACCAGCAGCCGCGGUAAUACGUAGGGGGCAAGCGUUAUCCGGAUUUACUGGGUGUAAAGGGGGCGCAGACGGCAAUGCAAGCCAGGAGUGAAAGCCCGGGGCCCAACCCCGGGACUGCUCUUGGAACUGCAUGGCUGGAGUACAGGAGGGGCAGGCGGAAUUGCUAGUGUAGCGGUGAAAUGCGUAGAUAUUAGGAGGAACACCGGUGGCGAAGGCGGCCUGCUGGACUGUGACUGACGUUGAGGCCCGAAGGCGUGGGGAGCAAACAGGAUUAGAUACCCCAGUAGUC